GCGUUUGUAGCUCAGUUGGUUAGAGCACCACCUUGACAUGGUGGGGGUCGGUGGUUCGAGUCCAUUCAGACGCACCA
This 77-nucleotide transfer RNA is filed under the name Klebsiella pneumoniae. RNAcentral describes it as "tRNA-Val". It matches the Rfam family "tRNA". Rfam says of the family: Transfer RNA (tRNA) molecules are approximately 80 nucleotides in length. Their secondary structure includes four short double-helical elements and three loops (D, anti-codon, and T loops). Further hydrogen bonds mediate the characteristic L-shaped molecular structure. tRNAs have two regions of fundamental functional importance: the anti-codon, which is responsible for specific mRNA codon recognition, and the 3' end, to which the tRNAs corresponding amino acid is attached (by aminoacyl-tRNA synthetases). tRNAs cope with the degeneracy of the genetic code in two manners: having more than one tRNA (with a specific anti-codon) for a particular amino acid; and 'wobble' base-pairing, i.e. permitting non-standard base-pairing at the 3rd anti-codon position. Lineage: Bacteria; Pseudomonadati; Pseudomonadota; Gammaproteobacteria; Enterobacterales; Enterobacteriaceae. The record is from RNAcentral.